Molecule: ribosomal RNA, 274 nt
Filed under: uncultured bacterium
Lineage: Bacteria
Description: partial 16S ribosomal RNA
Rfam family: Bacterial small subunit ribosomal RNA
Source: RNAcentral
AGACGGAGGGGGCUAGCGUUAAUCGGAAUUACUGGGCGUAAAGCGCGCGUAGGCGGUUUGUUAAGUCGGAUGUGAAAUCCCCGGGCUCAACCUGGGACCUGCAUCCGAUACUGGCAGGCUAGAGUCUGAUAGAGGGGGGUAGAAUUCCUGGUGUAGCGGUGAAAUGCGUAGAUAUCAGGAGGAAUACCAGUGGCGAAGGCGGCCCCCUGGACUGAGACUGACGCUGAGGUGCGAAAGCGUGGGGAGCAAACAGAAUUAGAAACCCCAGUAGUCC